GACGAACGCUGUCGGCGUGCUUAACACAUGCAAGUCGAACGGAAAGGCCCUGCUUUUGUGGGGUGCUCGAGUGGCGAACGGGUGAGUAACACGUGAGUAACCUGCCCUUGACUUUGGGAUAACUUCAGGAAACUGGGGCUAAUACCGGAUAGGAGCUCCUGCUGCAUGGUGGGGGUUGGAAAGUUUCGGCGGUUGGGGAUGGACUCGCGGCUUAUCAGCUUGUUGGUGGGGUAGUGGCUUACCAAGGCUUUGACGGGUAGCCGGCCUGAGAGGGUGACCGGCCACAUUGGGACUGAGAUACGGCCCAGACUCCUACGGGAGGCAGCAGUGGGGAAUAUUGCACAAUGGGCGGAAGCCUGAUGCAGCAACGCCGCGUGCGGGAUGACGGCCUUCGGGUUGUAAGCCGCUUUCGCCUGUGACGAAGCGUGAGUGACGGUAAUGGGUAAAGAAGCACCGGCUAACUACGUGCCAGCAGCCGCGGUGAUACGUAGGGUGCGAGCGUUGUCCGGAUUUAUUGGGCGUAAAGGGCUCGUAGGUGGUUGAUCGCGUCGGAAGUGUAAUCUUGGGGCUUAACCCUGAGCGUGCUUUCGAUACGGGUUGACUUGAGGAAGGUAGGGGAGAAUGGAAUUCCUGGUGGAGCGGUGGAAUGCGCAGAUAUCAGGAGGAACACCAGUGGCGAAGGCGGUUCUCUGGGCCUUUCCUGACGCUGAGGAGCGAAAGCGUGGGGAGCGAACAGGCUUAGAUACCCUGGUAGUCCACGCUGUAAACGGUGGGUACUAGGUGUGGGGUCCAUUCCACGGGUUCCGUGCCGUAGCUAACGCUUUAAGUACCCCGCCUGGGGAGUACGGCCGCAAGGCUAAAACUCAAAGGAAUUGACGGGGCCCCGCACAAGCGGCGGAGCAUGCGGAUUAAUUCGAUGCAACGCGUAGAACCUUACCUGGGUUUGACAUGGAUCGGGAGUGCUCAGAGAUGGGUGUGCCUCUUUUGGGGUCGGUUCACAGGUGGUGCAUGCCUGUCGUCAGCUCGUGUCGUGAGAUGUUGGGUUAAGUCCCGCAACGAGCGCAACCCUUGUUCACUGUUGCCAGCACGUUAUGGUGGGGACUCAGUGGAGACCGCCGGGGUCAACUCGGAGGAAGGUGGGGAUGACGUCGAGUCAUCAUGCCCCUUAUGUCCAGGGCUUCACGCAUGCUACAAUGGCUGGUACAGAGAGUGGCGAGCCUGUGAGGGUGAGCGAAUCUCGGAAAGCCGGUCUCAGUUCGGAUUGGGGUCUGCAACUCGACCUCAUGAAGUCGGAGUCGCUAGUAAUCGCAGAUCAGCAACGCUGCGGUGAAUACGUUCCCGGG
Molecule: ribosomal RNA, 1343 nt
Filed under: uncultured bacterium
Lineage: Bacteria
Description: 16S ribosomal RNA
Rfam family: Bacterial small subunit ribosomal RNA
Source: RNAcentral